Molecule: long non-coding RNA, 608 nt
Organism: Penaeus monodon (black tiger shrimp)
Lineage: Eukaryota; Metazoa; Arthropoda; Malacostraca; Decapoda; Penaeidae
Exons: 3
Source: RefSeq, a predicted model, not a curated record
AGAAAAAAUUUGGUGCUGUCUAUCUGAGUGAACGGGCAGUUCAAAAGAAGAAAAUUAAUGGAAAACAUGUCGGCGAGUGCCUGAGGCGUGUAUGUAAAUUCAUAUCGUCUCAUAAUGUAAUCAUCGAGGAGAACAGCAUAUUUGAUAUGUAGAUCAUCAAGAGGUACACAGCUUAUUCUCUUAUUCAAGUAGAAGUUCUCUUAUGAAGCAGAUCGCAACCCACUUACGGCAAGGAAGUGUUUUUUUUUUUUUUUUUUUCUUCUUUUUUUUCUUUUUUUUUUUCUUUUUUUUUCUGAGUCAUGAAUGUUAAGAUAAAAGAGGAGUGACUUCAAGGAAAAGAUUUGUGUUUAUUAGUUGAUAACAAAGAAGGAGGAGGAGUGUUUUUUUUUUGUUUUUUUUCCUGUCCAAUAAACUCACAAAAUGUACUGGAUUUCCUUUACCCUGACUAUAAAAAUACCAUUUUAAGUAUUUGUGAGCAAUUUCAACAGCUAAUGUUGAGGGUACCUAAAGAAUUUCAAGAACAAAAUUUAUUUUUGAAAACUUACCUGUUCCUCUCGUGUUUUUUCUCUUGUGCUGCCUCUCCCUCUCUCUCUCUCUCUCCCUCUCUC